Molecule: non-coding RNA, 369 nt
Filed under: Pongo abelii (Sumatran orangutan)
Lineage: Eukaryota; Metazoa; Chordata; Mammalia; Primates; Hominidae
Source: RNAcentral
GCGCGCUCCACUUCCCAGGGAAGAUCUACUGCCAGGGCACACCUGCCGGGCCCUGGACGUGCCCCAUCGGUGGCGAAAGAAGGGGCUUCCUGGCCAGUUGGCUCCCCCAGACAGCCGCCAACUCCGAACACUCUGGCCGAGUUUGUCUACUCUUCACCCCACCCCAACUCCAAACGAUGACCUUCAAUCAGACUUCAUCUUCAAAUUUGACGCUGGCCCCUAGCACCAUUCUCUAUAUAGGAAAUAAGGUGUUCAAUGAGUGGAAUUUCAGUGUCCACAAGAAAGCCCAAUACUUACACAUCCAAUUCCCAUUAUCAAAUGCUUGCACAAGAAUCGCAAAUUAAAAUCACCACUUCAUCUACUGGUCAA